UAAAGUCGUAACAAGGUUUCCGUAGGUGAACCUGCGGAAGGAUCAUUACCGAGUGAGGGCCCUCUGGGUCCAACCUCCCACCCGUGUUUAUCGUACCUUGUUGCUUCGGCGGGCCCGCCUCACGGCCGCCGGGGGGCAUCCGCCCCCGGGCCCGCGCCCGCCGAAGACACACAAACGAACUCUUGUCUGAAGAUUGCAGUCUGAGUACUUGACUAAAUCAGUUAAAACUUUCAACAACGGAUCUCUUGGUUCCGGCAUCGAUGAAGAACGCAGCGAAAUGCGAUAAGUAAUGUGAAUUGCAGAAUUCAGUGAAUCAUCGAGUCUUUGAACGCACAUUGCGCCCCCUGGUAUUCCGGGGGGCAUGCCUGUCCGAGCGUCAUUGCUGCCCUCAAGCACGGCUUGUGUGUUGGGCUCUCGCCCCCCGCUUCCGGGGGGCGGGCCCGAAAGGCAGCGGCGGCACCGCGUCCGGUCCUCGAGCGUAUGGGGCUUCGUCACCCGCUCUGUAGGCCCGGCCGGCGCCCGCCGGCGAACACCAUCAAUCUUAACCAGGUUGACCUCGGAUCAGGUAGGGAUACCCGCUGAACUUAAGCAUAUCAAUAAGCGGAGGAAAAGAAACCAACAGGGAUUGCCCCAGUAACG
This 639-nucleotide ribosomal RNA is filed under the name uncultured fungus. Its description in RNAcentral is "eukaryotic LSU rRNA". The stretch from base 226 to 379 matches the Rfam family "5.8S ribosomal RNA". The record is from RNAcentral. Lineage: Eukaryota; Fungi.